UGCUCUUAAGUAUAGCAUGUACAGUUGUCUUCCAAACAAAAGGGUUCGAAUUUCGAAAAGAGUAA
Molecule: transfer RNA, 65 nt
Filed under: Polydora cf. ciliata DS-2023
Lineage: Eukaryota; Metazoa; Annelida; Polychaeta; Spionida; Spionidae
Description: tRNA-Gly
Source: RNAcentral